This 97-nucleotide non-coding RNA is filed under the name unclassified sequences. Its description in RNAcentral is "DUF1874 RNA". It matches the Rfam family "DUF1874 RNA". From Rfam's summary of the family: Hot springs metagenome only. Environment (Bison Hot Springs, Yellowstone) The record is from RNAcentral.
UCAGCCCAGGCAUUUGGGUGCGGCCAUCCAAGGUAAGACCUCCCAUAGGGGGGCGCCGCACCCACCUCCCGAAAAGGGGGUGUGCCUGGGAGGAGGA